GGGAACUUGGUCCAGUGGUAAGACGUUCGCACAACACUAAGAUCUUGCACUCCUUGUGCGGAUCCAGUACUUAGCCGUACUGGAGUACUCUGUACCAGAGUGAUCUAUGCGAAAGACCUGCGUUCGAUUCGCAGGAUGUCCA
This 142-nucleotide transfer RNA is filed under the name Parastagonospora nodorum SN15. RNAcentral describes it as "Phaeosphaeria nodorum SN15 tRNA-Val for anticodon AAC". Lineage: Eukaryota; Fungi; Ascomycota; Dothideomycetes; Pleosporales; Phaeosphaeriaceae. The record is from RNAcentral.